UACGGAGGGUGCGAGCGUUGUCCGGAUUUAUUGGGUUUAAAGGGUGCGUAGGUGGCCUGGUAAGUCAGUGGUGAAAUGCGGCCGCUCAACGGUCGAACUGCCAUUGAUACUGCCGGGCUUGAGACAGAUGGAGGCCGCCGGAACGGAUGGUGUAGCGGUGAAAUGCAUAGAUAUCAUCCAGAACACCGAUUGCGAAGGCAGGUGGCUACGCCUGGUCUGACACUGAGGCACGAAAGCAUGGGGAGCAAAC
This 250-nucleotide ribosomal RNA is filed under the name uncultured bacterium. RNAcentral describes it as "partial 16S ribosomal RNA". It matches the Rfam family "Bacterial small subunit ribosomal RNA", at positions 524 to 773 of the family's 1533-position model. The record is from RNAcentral.